GAUGAACGCUGGCGGCGUGCCUAAUACAUGCAAGUCGAGCGAACAGACGAGGAGCUUGCUCCUCUGACGUUAGCGGCUGACGGGUGAGUAACACGUGGAUAACCUACCUAUAAUACUUGGAUAACUUCGGGAAACCGGAGCUAAUACCGGAUCAUAUAUUGAACCGCAUGGUUCAAUAGUGAAACACGGUUUUGCUGUCACUUAUAGAUGGAUUCGCGCCGGAUUAGCUAGUUGGUAAGGUAACGGCUUACCAAGGCAACGAUGCGUAGCCGACCUGAGAGGGUGAUCGGCCACACUGGAACUGAGACACGGUCCAGACUCCUACGGGAGGCAGCAGUAGGGAAUAUUCCGCAAUGGGCGAAAGCCUGACGGAGCAACGCCGCGUGAAUGAUGAAGGUCUUCGGAUCGUAAAACUCUGUUAUUAGGGAAGAAAAAAUGUGUAAGUAACUAUGCACGUCUUGACGGUACCUAAUCAGAAAGCCACGGCUAACUACGUG
Molecule: ribosomal RNA, 497 nt
Filed under: uncultured bacterium
Lineage: Bacteria
Description: partial 16S ribosomal RNA
Rfam family: Bacterial small subunit ribosomal RNA
Source: RNAcentral